AGAUUUAGUAGAGAAAGUACCUCAGAGAGUAGCAGACCAUAUAUCUCUAUCCUCUCUCUCCUGAUGGGCACAAGAGAGGCAGGGGUAGCAUGCAUGAUUUAUUGAGUAGCAGAACUUCUAACUCUAGCCGACUUGGGUGACUUUGGGCUAAUCAAACAAAGUGAGGAAGCAAGGAAGAAGAUGCUUCCAAAGCAUGCUAUGAAAGACUAUUUUCCUGUCUCUGACAUACAGGACUAUCCAUAAUGAAUUAAGUUUCUGGAUAAGCGUUUCUAUGACUCUUAAUUAAUAUCCUCCUUUUUGCCUUUGUUUCAUUUUAAUGUCCUUAAAAAGUUAAA
Molecule: long non-coding RNA, 335 nt
Organism: Rhododendron vialii
Lineage: Eukaryota; Viridiplantae; Streptophyta; Magnoliopsida; Ericales; Ericaceae
Exons: 3
Source: RefSeq, a predicted model, not a curated record